ACUGGGUGCAGUGGCGCGUGCCUGUAGUCCCAGCUACUCAGGAGGCUGAGGUGGGAGGAUCACUUGAGCCCAGGAGUUCUGGGCUGUAGUGCACUAUGCUGAUCAGGAGUCCACACUAAGUUCAGCAUCAAUAUGGUGACCUCCCGGGAGCGGGGGACCACCAGGUUGCCUAAGGAGGGGUGAACUAGCCCAGGUUGGAAAUGGAGCAGGUCAAAAACUCCCGUGCUGAUCAGUAGUGGGAUUGUGCCUGUGAAUAGCCACUGCACUCCAGCCUGGGCAGCAUAGCGAGACCCCCGUCUCUA
This is an unclassified non-coding RNA of Callithrix jacchus (white-tufted-ear marmoset), 302 nucleotides long. It matches the Rfam family "Metazoan signal recognition particle RNA". From Rfam's summary of the family: The signal recognition particle (SRP) is a universally conserved ribonucleoprotein. The record is from Ensembl. Lineage: Eukaryota; Metazoa; Chordata; Mammalia; Primates; Cebidae.